This is a long non-coding RNA of Pteropus alecto (black flying fox), 1541 nucleotides long. RefSeq lists it as uncharacterized. The transcript has 3 exons. Lineage: Eukaryota; Metazoa; Chordata; Mammalia; Chiroptera; Pteropodidae. The record is from RefSeq and is a predicted model, not a curated record.
CGAAUGACUCUAAUGGAUUACACUCCCCAACUGAUGGAGCACAGACUCCCGCUCAUCAAGGCUGGGCCUUCUGCCUCUUAAGAUUCUAACUCUUAUUUUUCAGGUGAGGAAACUGAGGCCCAGAGAUUAGCAUCAGGACAAGCAGCGUCUUCUGUCAUCACUUCUGACCACGUGUACCACCGCACUGACACCACCUCUCCGAUGUGGUGUGCCCAGGAGACCCUGAGUUAGCCUACCCUGGGGGGUGGGGAGGUUGCUCCAGAACCUUCCUUGGAAGCAAAACACACUGCUGAGUAAAGAGGGCCUCACAGACAGUGACUUUCUUUCCCACCAGAAGGUGGACACCACGCCAUGCAGGAGGCGGAUGCUGGUGGGGAAAACAUCCCAGGUUUACUCUGGCCUCGGACCAGCAAGGAAGAGGGUGCUCCCAGCACCUUGACCUUCUGGAGUUCCUGAGCUGGCAGACAAGGCAGCAGGCGGUGAUCUGGUCUCAGUUCCACGAGGCCCGCCUGGAAGUCAACAUCAAGGCGAAUGCACCACACAGAUCAAACGGCCCCUGUGAACCGGCAGAGGAAGGGCUGGCCCUCAUCAUUGUUAAGACAGAUGUCCUUGAACACAGGUUGCCAGAUCAAAUACAGGACUCUCGAUUAAAUUUGAAUUUCAGAUAAACACCAAAUAAUUUUUAAUGUAAAGAGCUGCCGAGGUCAGAAGACUUUCCUGAUGUCACUCUCUGAGCAGGACUGGGGCUCACAGACCACAGCUCCAAGCUCUCCCUGACAUCAAACUGCCUCCAGAAUUCUUUACUGAAGCAGCCUGUCUCCAGUCGGACUUCAGCUUCCAAAAGAUCCCAGUAGUCCAUUUAAGUGAGAGAAUACAAAUGGAAGUCUAUCCUUUAAAAUCCUGGGGUUCUCCUGCUGCAGGAGAGAAUGUGUCUUUGCAGUGAGGCCUCCAGAAUAUGCAUCUCUUUCGAGCUGACAUCUGGUCAUUUGAACAUGAACCAGGGGACUUGCUGGAAAUCUGGGGCCAAGCAAACUCAUAACAAAACCCCCAAAAGGCUGCUGUCCCUCACUAGCUUUGUAAUAUGCAAACGCAAAUAAGGAGCUAAGCAAAACGUGAGCUUCUCUAGCAGGUUAAGUGAGGAGGAAGACGGUCUGGGGUUGGCUGGCUGGAGGGCUGGUUGGCUUUCUGGUGCAGGGUUGUGGGAGGAUAAGCUAUAACGUGGGCUGGGCUGGUGCGGCCCCCUGUGGCCAGUCAGUGGAGACACAUCAGGACCUGCCAUUCUGUCUGAUGCAGCCUCAUCCCUUUAAGUGCAUUUCAGAAGAGAAAAAGAGCACAUCAAAAAGCACAACGUUUAAAUUCAAGAACGCCAGCAAGUAUGGACUCCACAGAAGAAUUUCACUGUAACAAUGUCUCUCAAAUUAGACCUGACCGGCUAAGACAGCCUACUAGCAAAGCGCCUUAUUUAAAAACUGGGAAACUGUUUUGUUGCCCUUUCGGUAGGUGGUUGGGAGUGGGGUCUGGCAUCAUCUCUUCCAAACUGA